AAUCAACCGAGAUUCCCCCAGUAGCGGCGAGCGAACGGGGAGGAGCCCAGAGCCUGAAUCAGCAUGUGUGUUAGUGGAAGCGUCUGGAAAGGCGCGCGAUACAGGGUGACAGCCCCGUACACAAAAGCGCAUGUGCUGUGAGCUCGAUGAGUAGGGCGGGACACGUGGUAUCCUGUCUGAAUAUGGGGGGACCAUCCUCCAAGGCUAAAUACUCCUGACUGACCGAUAGUGAACCAGUACCGUGAGGGAAAGGCGAAAAGAACCCCGGCGAGGGGAGUGAAAAAGAACCUGAAACCGUGUACGUACAAGCAGUGGGAGCCCCACCACUAAGCCAGUGGUGAACUCCACAUACGCAUCCUUUGCUGAGGAUACGGUUAACGGAGCGCAAGCGACGUUCAACCGCAAAAGAAGCAGAGGGGGCUUAGUGGUGGGGUGACUGCGUACCUUUUGUAUAAUGGGUCAGCGACUUAUAUUCUGUAGCAAGGUUAACCGUAUAGGGGAGCCGGAGGGAAACCGAGUCUUAAUUGGGCGUUAAGUUGCAGGGUAUAGACCCGAAACCCGGUGAUCUAGCCAUGGGCAGGUUGAAGGUUGGGUAACACUAACUGGAGGACCGAACCGACUAAUGUUGAAAAAUUAGCGGAUGACCUGUGGCUGGGGGUGAAAGGCCAAUCAAACCGGGAGAUAGCUGGUUCUCCCCGAAAGCUAUUUAGGUAGCGCCUCGUGAAUUCAUCUCCGGGGGUAGAGCACUGUUUCGGCUAGGGGGCCAUCCCGGCUUACCAACCCGAUGCAAAC
RNAcentral lists this ribosomal RNA (792 nucleotides) under Salmonella enterica subsp. enterica serovar Derby. It matches the Rfam family "Bacterial large subunit ribosomal RNA", at positions 223 to 954 of the family's 2925-position model. The record is from RNAcentral. Lineage: Bacteria; Pseudomonadati; Pseudomonadota; Gammaproteobacteria; Enterobacterales; Enterobacteriaceae.